UGUCCUUGUUUGGCCCAGCCAGAGCAUGGACUUGAACUUGAACCAACAUCUCUCGAGAGACCUGAAAAUAGCUGUGAGCGACGCUCCCCAUCCAACCUGACAGAGCUUGAGAGGAUCUGCAGAGAAGAAUGGGAGAAACUCUCCAAAUACAGGUGUUCCAAGGUUGUAGCGUCAUACCUAGGAAGACUCGAGGCUGUAACCACUGCCAAAGGUGCUUCAACAAAGUACUGAGUAAAGGGGUGAGUCCAUCAUGGCUUCCAGCAUCUCUAGGAAGAGUUUGUGCAUGGGCACGCCGCCUCGGGUCUUGAUGCUGUAGAAGGUGGUGAGGGCGCGACCAGCCGUCUGGCGGAGAAGGGGGAGGGUGAGGAGGAGACGCCCCGCCCGCUGGGGGUCCUCGGGGCAUCGCUGGCACUCUAGCUCCAACAGGGUCUGGUGAAGGAGGUCCCUCAGCUUCUGCACCGCCUCUAUGUCCUCUAUGUACACAGAGUCUGGCAGGGGAGAGGGCGAGCAUGGUCAGCGUGUAUUUCUAAAAGCUUCCUUUUGUCUUUUGGACAGAGGGUUUUGUAAGAUUGUGUAUGGCAGUACAUGUAGGUGAUUAAGUAAUAGGACGCAAUGGUCCCUAACGUGACAAAUAUAAAAUAAAUAUUGCCUUUGUACGCUAAGCAGACCGUGGGGGUGAAUUUGCUGUUUACAGUAAUCGUCUGUCAGUCCCUCAGGGCUGGAGUUAUGCACUUUAACAAUCUUUACUAAUCUGUCUUGCACUGAUUUUUCUGGGGUGUAAUUUCUCUGAAAUAAACUGUUUGGACCAAUCUGCUAAAUGAAACUGAAGUAGAGUAGUGCUUCCAAUAAAGAAUGUUAGUAACUUA
Long non-coding RNA from Oncorhynchus keta (chum salmon), 866 nucleotides. RefSeq lists it as uncharacterized. Lineage: Eukaryota; Metazoa; Chordata; Actinopteri; Salmoniformes; Salmonidae. The record is from RefSeq and is a predicted model, not a curated record. The transcript is spliced from 2 exons.